AGGAGCGGCGCUCCGGGGCCGAGCUUGGGGCGGGGGACAGGCGGCGAGCAGGGUGCCGGGGCUGGGUCGGUGCCCGCCUGUGGGAGGACGCCGGGUGUGGGGUCCCCCCGCGGUGCGGGAGCCGCGGGGCGCUCCCUGCGCUGUGCGGGGUCGCACGGGAGCCCCGCGCCCUCCCGGUGCUCCCCCGUGCCGGGUCCGAGCCCGGCGCUGUGACCCCCGUGACCCGCCAACAGAAGCAGGGUUUUUUGGUUUUUUUCCCUGUGGGCCUUAGGGAGCGCUGCUCCCCGCCCCGGCCCCAGCUUUGCAUAACUUGUCUCCCAGUUGGCUGUCCCUUCCUCGCUGCACUUUGCCCUUGCCCGGUGGUCUGUGGCGUGAGGGAGUAGAACUAUUCAAGGACUGCGUUUUAUUUCUCUAGGGAAAGAGCUGGGUCACAAACGAGGCAAGCUGUCUAAUAAUAUUUAUAUGUAUAUUCCUUUUUUCCUCCGCAGCAGCCCAGUGUGCAAGCAGGAUUCUGUGACAGUACAGAACAAGGCCCUUGGGUGUGAUUUUUUUUUUUUCUUAGCAAACCCUGGAGCAGAGCUGCUGUUAGCAUGUAGAGUUUGAAUGCCACAGGCGGUCUGUUGUUUCUUCCUGCUGAAAGAAUAAUUUAGAGGAGCAGCAAUGGCUCAUUAAUAGAAAGUAUUAGUUGCAGGAAAGCAAAAGCAGGUGAAGUUUCUUACUUUACCACUGACUUACUCUGUGACCUUGGUUCCAUCUUUCUGCACUAGUCAGUCCUCUCAUUGCUUAUGAAUUGGGAAUAGCCGUGCUUUCCAAAAACGUUCUGUGCAUAAACAUACUAAUGACUGUGAAAUGCUUAUCUGCUGUAGUAAUAAAGGGUAGAUAGUGAUGCUAUUUCUAUCACAGAACCAGAAAGGUUCUAGGCAGGAUGUGGACUGUAGUAGCCACACUUGGAUGCUUAAAAGACAUUUAAUAACCUGUGAUAUUGCAUGAUUUGCACUGUGGUCAUCUUAUGUUUCAUAUUUUGAUGUAGUGUGUGCUUUUGAAGAGCUGCUAUUUCACACUGUAAGUACUUUAAGGAUGGCUUUUUUUUCCACUUCUGUUUGGAACAAAGCUGUGUGGUGUCCUCUUCCACUGCUAAGGAAACCCUGUGAAUUUCUAAUGUAGUAGAUUAUCCCUGAUAGUUGACAUCUCUGAACUACAUGGUGUUUUUGAAAGGAAAUACUAAAGGGAGUGACAGUAAGUUCAUCGUACCUGUAAUAAAAGGCAAUGUUAGUUUAAGGAACAGUAUUUUUCUCCUCACCUUAUAGGAUGCUCUCUGUGGAAAAUCGGAAUGCUUCCUGUAUUUCAUAGGUAAAAACCUAAAUACAGGAGUCCUGAAGCUGAAGGACUUGACUGUCAUGGUUCACACUGCCUGAAGUGCAGCCGCUGCAAUAGCAAAUGGAAGCAGCCAAGCACAGAGCUGGGAGUUGCUGCUGCAAAUCCUGACCUUAGUGAAAUAAGUUUUCUCUCUUUACAGUUUUGCUUAAUACUGACUUGUGCAACUAGAUUACUCAUCUUUUUUUUCUAUUUUUUUAAAUAUAUAUUGUAUAAGGAUACACCAGGAAGAAGCAAUGUUUACCUCAUACAUUGGGGAUUUUUUGAAAGUAAUUCAAUAUAUAGUGUCUCACUUAGCUACUCAAUUUAAUAUGAAACUUCCAUAAUCAGAUUAACGUUAAAUAGGAAAGCUUUUGUGUUGAAGAGGAGGUAAGCACAACCUGGUUUGGUUUGGUUUGGGUUUUGUGUUUUUUCUUUUAAAGAACUUGAAAGCUGCUCUGGUAGAAUAGCAAUUCAUUGUUAAUUCUUAAUAUGUAGGUGCCCUGAAAAAAUCAAAUACCUGGUUUCAUAGCUACCCUUAGGCAUCUUUAAUUUAUGCAAGCAGGGCUCUCUGAGUAGCUACUGUAAGUCUCAUUGACCUUAGUAGGUUUGCAGAGGUCAUGUUUUAAAAUGGGUAAGUUGUGCUUGAACUAUUUUCUCAGUAAGUUUUAGGAGCAAGUGUUGUUUACACAAUUACAUGCUUUUUCCAGUUCUCCAUUACAUUUUCUGUUUUUCUUUAGAUUCUUGCUCAUCCUAAAGAAAACUCUCAUUAGGAAGAAGCACAGGUUUUUGAAAACAAGUUCCUUUUCGAGAUCUGGCUAUAGCAGAGCAGACAGUGAGGUUUUACAAACAGCCAGAAAGGCCGGUGUUGGGUUCAGAGAAACUUGGCCAGCACAAGCCGAAUGUACACGAGUGACAUCAGCAUUUUCUGAGCCAUUUAUGCUGUUCACUUGUGCUGGUUCCCAGCAGUGCCUUGUGUCUUAUGAGGGGAGAGCUGCUGCUUGUCUCAAAUGUCUCCAUGCAAGUUUCCUAUGAGCCAGGAGCAUAACCGUGUCCUAGGAGACAUCUGAGGAAUAACUUGGAGUGAGACACAGCUUGUCCCCUGCUCCUUUUGGUAAUAGAGCUGUAACCACUGUGAAGUCAUCUGACAGAGGUUUUACUGGACUGAAGCCUUGAUCUGUAUCAUAUGUAGAUGGGCCACUAAUGCAGUUUUGAUGGCUGGUGAUAAAACAGCCAUAAAACCCAAAGGACUUCAGUGUCAACAGAAGCCUCGAUAAUAUUAAGACUGGAAAAUAAAGGCUUUUAUUACACUGUCACUGCACACUUCUUGUUACAAGGUCUUUGGGAAGAAUUGUGUCUUCAGAUGCUGAUCCUUCAAACUUGUCCUUGCAGUUAGCAUUUAAUCGUGUGUAAUGAAAGUAUUGCCACUUGAUGGGUGAAAUUGAAACAAACCCUCCAUUAUAAGCACUAUACCCAGACAUUUCUUCUGUUUUUCUUGCUUGCUAAAUCUAGCUGAAACUUGCUGGCAUAAAAUUCUGCAGUAAAGCAACGUGCAUAAUCUAUUUCUAAGUAAACAGAGCACCUUCUUUGAACAGUGUCUAAUGUUUCAUACUUCAGUUUCUUUUGUUAGUGCUGUAGCAGUGUGAGGGAGCCAAAUUCCUGGUUACCUGUCUUGGUGAAUGUGCUUGUCCUUGUCUGACUCCAUGGCUUGUUUGGAACAGCUGCAAAGUUUCCUUAUGAGCACUGAUCUGGCACAGCCGUGUACAAGACUCUUGAGAUUUAUAGCUCUGUAGGGGAACCACCUACAGAGGGAAGAAGGGUUGACCUGGAGAAGUGCACUUGGGAAGGAAUGCUGAUGUUCUCUGUGGAAGUAACAGAAAUCUUUUCCUGUGACUUUCCAGAGUGACUUGCCCCAUACUGCACAAACAGUUUCUCGUUGUAGGGGAGAAACAAGAGGAAUGCAAGACUUGACAAGGGGACUGGUUAUCUAAAAAGGAACAGGUGCAGUCCUCAGACACUGGAAAGCUGAACAGAUUCCUUUAAGUAAGCUGUUCUUGCAGGUUUAAGGACAUUUAUUGGCAAAACAUCUAAGAGAAAUUUGAAAUUAUAUUUUGAGAAGGAAAUUGAGUUACCAGUAUUACUUUAAUUGACCAAAGAUAGGGAUGCAUGGACUUUUCCUAGUGUUUUUUUUUUAAUUUAUGUAGGAUAUGCAAAUAUGUUUUAAAACCAUAUAUAGGAGAAUAGAUGGCAAUGAGGAUGUAUUUUAGAGAUUUAUAGCAUCUGUAAGAACAAAUAUUGUUAAAAAAAAAAAAAACGAAAAAACAACAAAAAAGACCAAACUCCCCCAAAACACCCCAAGCUUCAAAAGUACUUUCACAUGGCACAUUCAGGAUUCUGUUAAUUAUAUUAUGUUGUGUGACAGAUACUUAUGUAAAUAUGAAAGUCCACAUAAAUGUUGUCAUGAAUCAGUAGCUUUUUUAGUAGAUGUGGGCAAAUAAAAUGUGGUCUGGAUGCUUAAAUCUGCUAAAAUAUUUACAAGAAGCCUGGCUCUUGGAAAAAAAUUUCCCACCGGAUGCAGUGGGUGUCAGGUCUAAAGGUCAGCAACAGAGAGAGUAAAGAGAAGGAUCUUUUGCAUUUUUCUCCACGUUUUUCAAACAAGCCUUGUGUAAAGAAGUAGAAAAUCUUUCUUUCUUUGUUUCUUCCUAAAUUUCUGAGCGCUAACAGGCAUUUGCAGGUUUGUUCAUACUUCAGCUAUUUGUUGUGAACUUUUUUCUUUAAGAGAGGAGAAAAAAAUCCCAAAACCCUCAGUGUAGUUAAUACAUUCAUGAACUCUUAGCACGGAAGUUCCUGGUGUAAAUCAUAAAAGCCAGAUGGAGUUUUAAGUGACUGUCAUGUACAACUUAGGGAAUGAACAUUCCUGAUACUAACAAAAGGGCCAGAUUGGAGCUACACAAUUAAUCCCAGUGUCCUUUUCAGUGCAUGAUAAGAUUUGGCUACAAUAGCCAUGGAGUUAAUAGAGACAACUGUCAAGUUCUGCGAAGCAGUGUAUUAUCUACCUAAAAUAAAAAUACCUGUGUGCUUACUCUGAUAUAUAUCUUCUGGUGAUUAGGGCUCAAAUUGCAGUUUAAAUGGGGAAAAAAAUGAGAGUGAGCAGUGACUGCCUUUGUCUUGAAUCUACCUCCUGUCUUAAAUAUGUAUGUAAAUAUAUUUAUACAUAUAUUUAAUAUGUAUAAUUAAUCUGCAUUCAUAAUAUAUCUAUAUAAAUACUUUUAAAGCAAAAGAUAAGUAUAUAGGGUUUUUUUGAAUGUCACAUGGCAAAACCUUUCUAAAUUUGAGUUGAUUUGAAAUGUAAUGCCUGUGGAGCUCCAGGAAACAAUUUUACAAUGCAGUUUAUUCCCUCUGUGUUAGCAGUGUCCUGAAGGAAAUGUGCAGAGAAGUGCUAAAAAAAAAAAAAAGGCUUAUGAGAUGGCACAAAGUGUGUGUCAGAUACAGACAGGAGGAGGAGUGGGCAGAUGGCAGUCAGUACAGAACACGUGAAUAAUCAGAUUGAGAACAAGCUGAAUACAUCGUCAGUAUGCUGGUUGCAUGCUGCUGCAUUUUGGGUUUGGUGAACGUGCUGGGGAUUUUUUUGUUGUGAUCAGUGUUCAUACUCCAGAGAGGUAAAAAUCUUGAAGCUAUAAGUGUAUAUGAGGGUGAAGGCAUGCCCACCAGAGUCACAGGAACUUCUGGGACGAGGGAGAAGUUAGUGCUUUCAGAACUAUCAGGGACUGGAAAACAUUAAAAAAAUCUGUUCAGUUUGUUAUAGACUUCAUCUGCAAGUUUAUUCAGCUCUACCUUUGGCAUGCAUGACAUGGAAUUAUAUUAAAAUGAUUCAAAAUCUUAGUGCCUGAACCUGUGGUAUGGUAGAUUGGUUUAUUUUUCUGAAAAGGUCUGGAAGGCAGUAAGACUUAUUUGUGAUAAAUUGUUUACAUAACUUACUUUAUCUAAUUUAUUGGAAAUCUCUGGGUGGCUGUCUGGCCUUAGUGUUCAUUGUCUGGCUCAGAGGUCUUUUCCAGAUCGUUGGUUGGAUGCCCUGUUGGAGCAUGGAAUGGAAAGAAGAGCAGGAGGGGAUGGCUGCCCUGGUGAAUGAUUGAUCCUGUAACCUCUAGUGCAAUGCUAAGGAUUGUAGAAAAUAAAUAAAUCCAGAAAUGGAACAACAAAAGCCCUCCUUCCCUUCUGAGACUUACUUGAAAAAGGUUAUAAUAUCAAUUUAUAAUAAUAAUAAGGUAUACAUAUGAAAGAGAGUGUGUUGAGAUCCAGUUGAUCAGUAGUAACUUGGUUCUGUUUGUAUUUGUUUCAAAAUGUUCCUGCUUUUUUCUUUCUCAGAAAGUUCCAUAGGCUAGAAGAGUAGUGAACUGGUCUAACUGGAGAAUGCCCUACUUCCCAGAAAAGGCAUUGUCUGAGCGGGCAGAAUGGAAGGAUCACAACACACCCUUCAGUUUAAAAUUUAUUUAGUAUAGAUAAUUUCACAUGCCUGCAGUUAUCCUUUAGUAGUACCAGUUUGCUCCUUGUACACUGUAUUAGCAUGCCUCAGUCUGAACAACAGCAGUAAAGAGUCUUAACAGCACAAGAAGGUAGAGCAAAUGUAGUCUGUAUUUCUGCAGAAGUGAAGG
Molecule: non-coding RNA, 6005 nt
Organism: Taeniopygia guttata (zebra finch)
Lineage: Eukaryota; Metazoa; Chordata; Aves; Passeriformes; Estrildidae
Source: RefSeq, a predicted model, not a curated record